This is a non-coding RNA of Mycena rebaudengoi, 89 nucleotides long. The record is from the annotation of a GenBank genome assembly. NCBI's taxonomy places the organism in Eukaryota, Fungi, Basidiomycota, Agaricomycetes, Agaricales, Mycenaceae.
GCAUCGGUGGUGCAUGGUGCAUGCUGCCCUAAAGUAACUGUGCUUAGAAUGUCUGAAGGCAGACCGGGGUUCGAUUCCCCGCCGGUGCA